AACGCGAAGAACCUUACCCGGGUUUGAAAUACAGAGGACGAUACCAGAAAUGGUAUUUCCCGCAAGGGUCUCUGAACAGGUGCUGCAUGGCUGUCGUCAGCUCGUGCCGUGAGGUGUUGGGUUAAGUCCCGCAACGAGCGCAACCCUUAUCAUUAGUUGCCAACAUUUAAGGUGGGGACUCUAGUGAGACUGCCCAGGUUAACUGGGAGGAAGGUGAGGAUGACGUCAAGUCCGCAUGGCCUUUAUAUCCGGGGCUACACACGUGCUACAAUGGUCGGUACAGAAGGCAGCGAAGCCGCGAGGUGGAGCAAAUCCCUAAAAACCGAUCUCAGUUCAGAUUGUAGGCUGCAACUCGCCUACAUGAAGUCGGAAUUGCUAGUAAUGACGUGUCAGCAACAACGUCGUGAAUACGUUCCCGGGCCUUGUACACACCGACUGUAC
This 441-nucleotide ribosomal RNA is filed under the name uncultured bacterium. Its description in RNAcentral is "bacterial SSU rRNA". It matches the Rfam family "Bacterial small subunit ribosomal RNA", at positions 958 to 1399 of the family's 1533-position model. The record is from RNAcentral.